UCAACGGUUCAGGCAAGUUUGUAUUUACUUAACUCUACUAAGAGUGUUUUAUUCAAGCUUAUGGUUAAAUCAUUGUUGAUUGCCAUGAAAAUUGUACUCUGUACAUCUUGCAUGUAUAAGUCAGGUAUGAAAGGCUGAUCACCUUCAUUACCGGUUUGUCCAGAAAUGUUUGUUCAUGUUUAAAACUUGUUCAGUCAAAAGUUUGUUCCUGCUAGUUCUCAAUUAUAUUGAUGAAUUAUAGCCAGCUUAUUAUUCAUACUCUUCAAUCAUGAUAUAUCCUUAUAUUGUUGUAUUUAAACUUGUUGG
RNAcentral lists this long non-coding RNA (306 nucleotides) under Panax ginseng (ginseng). RNAcentral describes it as "long non-coding RNA (PGIN_LNC014553)". The record is from RNAcentral. Lineage: Eukaryota; Viridiplantae; Streptophyta; Magnoliopsida; Apiales; Araliaceae.